GUCUACGGCCAUACCACGUUGAAAGCACCAGUUCUCGUCCGAUCAUUGAAGUUAAGCAACGUCGGGCUCGCUUAGUACUUGGAUGGGUGACCGCCUGGGAACACCGAGUGCUGUAGACU
This 119-nucleotide ribosomal RNA is filed under the name Lottia gigantea (owl limpet). Lineage: Eukaryota; Metazoa; Mollusca; Gastropoda; Lottiidae. The record is from RNAcentral.